Molecule: long non-coding RNA, 2061 nt
Organism: Passer domesticus (house sparrow)
Lineage: Eukaryota; Metazoa; Chordata; Aves; Passeriformes; Passeridae
Exons: 2
Source: RefSeq, a predicted model, not a curated record
AUCUAACAAUCAGGAAUGCUUUUCACUGGCAGACAUUGUCUCCUACCUGUAAAUGGAUCAACCCCGCCUACUGGAGGUACUGCAUUUGAUGCUGAACCAGGAACAUAGCGACCAGCACCUAACAAAGAUGUCACGUUUUUAAACACCACCACCAAUAAAGAGAUAACAUAUACCUGUAUUUAGUAACUACUUUUCAACCAAGACUAUUAAAAGGGAUUUUUCUGCACUAAAGGAAUUACAAAGUAGUGUUCAAUACUUCUUUAAGGAUUAAAUCUAUGCCUGUGAGAGGAUGUUGGUGAUGACAGCAUUCGCAAGCUAAGUGAGACACUCCCACAGCUGGGAGACACUCUAACAUUCUACUGUGGGACACCAUGGAAUCUCUGGCAGGUGAAGAGGGCUUCAGCACAGCAGAUACUUUAUGCAUGACAAGUUCCAGCAGCAGUGCAGUGCACACUGCCCUGGCCUCGACUCUCUUUGUGCCUGAGCCAUGAGUGGUCUCUCCUGUGGAAGCUGCACUCACUUGCACUGAGGUCUCAGUGAGGCCUCCAUCUGCAGAGACCACAGAGCCGCAAAAGCCAUGGAGGAGAAACAGCUGGACACAGAAAGACUGUCAAGAUGGGGCAGACUGAAGGCUCAGGACCAGAGCAGUGACUGUCCCUCUGUACUUGGCCCUAGUGAGGGCACACCUCAAAUCCUGUGAUCAGUUCUGGGCCCCUUAUGACAACAAACACAUUGAAGUAAUGCAGGUAAGUCCAGAAAAGGGCAAUGGAGCUGGCAAAGAGUCUGGAGCACAGGUCUUAUGAGAAGCAGCUGAAGGAACUGGGGGUGUUUAAGUGGUGCAGGUGGAUUUUACUGCUCUCUACAAGUACUUGAAAGGUAUCAAGGUGUGGGUCAGUCUCUGCUCCCAGUAAUAGGAUGCAAAGAAGUGGUCUCAAGCUGCACCAGGAGACGUCUAGAUUAGAUAUUUGGAAAAAGUUCUAUACUGGAAGGGGGGUCAGGCAUUGGAAUAGCCUGCCCAGGGAAGUGUCUGAAGCAUCCAAAGAAUUAUGUGGAUAUGGGGAUAUGAUUUAGGGGUGAACAUGGAAGUGGUCAGUUAAUGGCUGAAUUCAAUAUUCUUAGAGGUCUUUUCCAAUCUGAAUGAUUCUAUGAUUCUAUGAAAGUGAAAUGGAUUGAAGCCUAAUGGAACAACCAUGGCCAGAGGAUGGUGAUCAGUGCAACAACAUUUACUGGAAGCCAGCCACUGGUGGUGUGCCCCAGGAGUCAGUACUGCAUCCAGUCCUCCUCCGCAUCUUCACUAAUGAUGGUGUGGAAGAUCAGAGUGCAUCCUCAGCAAGUGUGCUGAAGACACAAAACUCAGAGGAAUAUCUAAUGUCAUCACUUAAGUUUAAAAUAUUUACCUGUAAAUGGAUCUGAAAACUGAUUACUUGUACUCAACAGUGUUUGCCCCUUAGUGUUGUCCAUAAUAAACUUGGCCACCUGAUCCAGAAACAUAGGAUUUAGAUCAUUCUUUUGCAGGAAGUUGUAUGCAGUCAGCCAAGGAUCAUCAGUGAUGUUAUAUGGCAGUUUGUAGGAAGGCCCAUUUUCAUUUACAUCAAUGGUGAAAACAUAGUCAUAUUCCUUUAAGUAGAAUAAAAAUAAAAACACAUCAGAAGUCUUCCAGCACUUUCUACACAAUGAUGUAUCAAAUGCAGUCUAACAGUGGCCCAGAUCUAAGCCUAAAAACUUAAAACACGGCUACUUACAGAACAUAUCAGCAAAACUCGCCUGAGACUGCAAGUAAACAUUUGCUGAUUUAGGGUAAACAUUAAACAUUACUUAGCAACAGCCAAAACAUCAGUGUGUUGUAACACUGUUACUAUACUAUAUCCAAAACACACAGCAUUGUAUCAGCUGCUAAGAAGAAUACGAACUCUGUCUCAGCCAAAAGCAUGACACACUUAAACCUACAUUUUCCAGAAUUCUCAGCUCAAGAAGAGCAGAGUAAAACAAUGUAUCAUUAGUAAAACAAUUAUCUCUAUGUACAGAUAUGUUACAAAAUAAAGAUGCAUCGGGUCAUUCUCA